This 205-nucleotide long non-coding RNA is filed under the name Elaeis guineensis (African oil palm). Its description in RNAcentral is "long non-coding RNA (EGUI_LNC001841)". The record is from RNAcentral. Lineage: Eukaryota; Viridiplantae; Streptophyta; Magnoliopsida; Arecales; Arecaceae.
GCAUGGAUAUUUAUGAAAGUGGUUAGUCGUCAAAAUUUUUGAUGGAAGUGAAAACCCAUUUUCCUUAUGGAUUUUUACUUCACAUGAAAUAUGGGAAGUGACUUCCUAUAAAAAGUAUUUUUUUCACUUUCGCUUCUUUAAAAACUCCAACCAAACAAGAGGUACUUUCUCUACUUUCCAGGAAGUAUCUAUUCCCCCCUCCACU